RNAcentral lists this long non-coding RNA (995 nucleotides) under Homo sapiens (human). RNAcentral's name for it is "HSALNT0136124". The record is from RNAcentral. Lineage: Eukaryota; Metazoa; Chordata; Mammalia; Primates; Hominidae.
CACCAGUCCAAUGAAGUAGACAGUCAAUAAAUGCUUGUUAGCUACUGCUUUGUAUGUGCAGAGAUUUAAUUACCUCUACUCUUAAAAAAUGGUUCAUUUUGGCUUCUGUAACCUGAAUAUUAAUUAGCAUGCCAUUCUCUUUCCUGUACAUCUCCCCAUCUCAGAGCAAUGCCAGCACUGAGAAAGCACAAAGUCCUUUUUCUUAUUUGCUUCCAGUUUUCUAAUUUUACCUUCUCCCUCUGCCUUGCUCCCUGUUUUGUCUCAGCCCCAGUCUCUCAUCUUUCCUUUUGUACCCUGUGUCCUAGGCUCGAUGGCUAUGUUCUCACUCAUCUAUGAGCAGGCUGCAUGGAGACCUAAACAUAGUCCAGACAGACGAACCCUCAGAGUAAAAUAUCAAAUCCAGCUCAUUUGACAAUAAAGUAUUCGAGCGAACAUCAAAGAAAAUUGUACUUUUGCUUACUGCUGGGUUGAAUCUACAAAUUUGACUGGGCUUGCUCUUGUGCCUGUAUUCAUCCUGUAUCAGCCCCAACUAAUGAUCACCAAAGAUCCUUCAUGGGAAUUAUUUGGCGACAAAUGCAAAUCGUGGAAUAACUCUUUUGACAAUGAACCUGUCUCUUAGUAAGAAAUACAAAGCUUUGAAAAGCCUCUUAUGAAUCUCACGUUGUUUCCUGGAACAAGUCUGUUGACAUUUACAUGCAUGAUACAAAAGCUACGAUGAGAAGCCAAAGCGAAGAAGACAGGCUUCAGGCCUAGACUGCCUGGGCCCAAGGCUGAGCUCAGCCACAUCCUCACUGUUGAGACUGGGCAGGGGUCACAAGCAUCACUCAAACCGUCUUCAUUUCUGAAUCUUUCUCGUGGUGCUUAGCAUGGUGUUUUGCAGGCAGUAGAUUCUUAAUAAGUAUUUGUGCAAUUGGAAACUUCAAAUUUCUACCUGUAUAGGGAUGUGGAACCAUAAGGAGGCAUAGCAUGGGAGACACAGGACGUUUAUGAGGCAG